UGUCUUGUAGUAUAAUAUUCAUAAUACUGUAAACUGCAACUUUACCAAAGCUAAAUAACGCCAAGACAU
This 69-nucleotide transfer RNA is filed under the name Pseudunio homsensis. RNAcentral describes it as "Margaritifera homsensis tRNA-Cys". The record is from RNAcentral. Lineage: Eukaryota; Metazoa; Mollusca; Bivalvia; Unionida; Margaritiferidae.